GUGCCAGCAGCCGCGGUAAUACGGAGGAUGCGAGCGUUAUCCGGAUUCAUUGGGUUUAAAGGGUGCGCAGGCGGAAUGAUAAGUCAGUGGUGAAAUCUCCCGGCUCAACCGGGAAACUGCCAUUGAUACUGCCAUUCUUGAGUACAGUUGAAGUGGGCGGAAUGUGUCAUGUAGCGGUGAAAUGCUUAGAUAUGACACAGAACACCGAUAGCGAAGGCAGCUCACUAAGCUGUAACUGACGCUCAUGCACGAAAGCGUGGGGAUCAAACAGGAUUAGAUACCCCGGUAGUCC
RNAcentral lists this ribosomal RNA (292 nucleotides) under uncultured bacterium. RNAcentral's name for it is "partial 16S ribosomal RNA". It matches the Rfam family "Bacterial small subunit ribosomal RNA", at positions 505 to 796 of the family's 1533-position model. The record is from RNAcentral.